AGCGAACGCUGGCGGCAGGCCUAACACAUGCAAGUCGAACGGAUCCUUCGGGAUUAGUGGCGGACGGGUGAGUAACACGUGGGAACGUGCCCUUUGGUUCGGAACAACUCAGGGAAACUUGAGCUAAUACCGGAUGUGCCCUUCGGGGGAAAGAUUUAUCGCCAUUGGAGCGGCCCGCGUCUGAUUAGCUAGUUGGUGAGGUAAAGGCUCACCGAGGCGACGAUCAGUAGCUGGUCUGAGAGGAUGAUCAGCCACAUUGGGACUGAGACACGGCCCAAACUCCUACGGGAGGCAGCAGUGGGGAAUCUUGCGCAAUGGGCGAAAGCCUGACGCAGCCAUGCCGCGUGAAUGAUGAAGGUCCUAGGAUUGUAAAAUUCUUUCACCGGGGACGAUAAUGACGGUACCCGGAGGAGAAGCCCCGGCUAACUUCGUGCCAGCCGCCGCCGUAA
Molecule: ribosomal RNA, 449 nt
Filed under: uncultured bacterium
Lineage: Bacteria
Description: partial 16S ribosomal RNA
Rfam family: Bacterial small subunit ribosomal RNA
Source: RNAcentral